AGGACGAACGCUGGCGGCGUGCUUAACACAUGCAAGUCGAGCGGAAAGGCCCUUCGGGGUACUCGAGCGGCGAACGGGUGAGUAACACGUGAGUAAUCUGCCCCUAGCUCUGGGAUAGCUCCGGGAAACCGGGAUUAAUACCGGAUAUUACACCGGCUGACAUCGGCUGGUGUGGAAAGAUUUAUCGGCUAAGGAUGGACUCGCGGCCUAUCAGCUUGUUGGUGGGGUAGUGGCCUACCAAGGCGACGACGGGUA
Molecule: ribosomal RNA, 255 nt
Filed under: uncultured bacterium
Lineage: Bacteria
Description: partial small subunit ribosomal RNA
Rfam family: Bacterial small subunit ribosomal RNA
Source: RNAcentral